CUGGCUCAGGAUGAACGCUGGCGGCGUGCUUAACACAUGCAAGUCGAACGGUGAAGCCAAGCUUGCUUGGUGGAUCAGUGGCGAACGGGUGAGUAACACGUGAGCAACCUGCCCUGGACUCUGGGAUAAGCGCUGGAAACGGCGUCUAAUACUGGAUAUGAGCCCCUUCCGCAUGGUGGGGGUUGGAAAGAUUUUUUGGUCUGGGAUGGGCUCGCGGCCUAUCAGCUUGUUGGUGAGGUAAUGGCUCACCAAGGCGUCGACGGGUAGCCGGCCUGAGAGGGUGACCGGCCACACUGGGACUGAGACACGGCCCAGACUCCUACGGGAGGCAGCAGUGGGGAAUAUUGCACAAUGGGCGGAAGCCUGAUGCAGCAACGCCGCGUGAGGGAUGACGGCCUUCGGGUUGUAAACCUCUUUUAGCAGGGAAGAAGCGAGAGUGACGGUACCUGCAGAAAAAGCGCCGGCUAACUACGUGCCAGCAGCCGCGGUAAUACGUAGGGCGCAAGCGUUAUCCGGAAUUAUUGGGCGUAAAGAGCUCGUAGGCGGUUUGUCGCGUCUGCUGUGAAAUCCCGAGGCUCAACCUCGGGCCUGCAGUGGGUACGGGCAGACUAGAGUGCGGUAGGGGAGAUUGGAAUUCCUGGUGUAGCGGUGGAAUGCGCAGAUAUCAGGAGGAACACCGAUGGCGAAGGCAGAUCUCUGGGCCGUAACUGACGCUCAGGAGCGAAAGGGUGGGGAGCAAACAGGCUUAGAUACCCUGGUAGUCCACCCCGUAAACGUUGGGAACUAGUUGUGGGGACCAUUCCACGGUUUCCGUGACGCAGCUAAC
RNAcentral lists this ribosomal RNA (826 nucleotides) under Microbacterium testaceum. RNAcentral's name for it is "bacterial SSU rRNA". It matches the Rfam family "Bacterial small subunit ribosomal RNA", at positions 19 to 856 of the family's 1533-position model. Lineage: Bacteria; Bacillati; Actinomycetota; Actinomycetes; Micrococcales; Microbacteriaceae. The record is from RNAcentral.